Molecule: ribosomal RNA, 464 nt
Filed under: uncultured bacterium
Lineage: Bacteria
Description: bacterial SSU rRNA
Rfam family: Bacterial small subunit ribosomal RNA
Source: RNAcentral
GAUUGAACGCUGGCGGCAUGCCUAACACAUGCAAGUCGAGCGGCAGCGCGGGGGCAACCCUGGCGGCGAGCGGCGGACGGGUGAGUAAGGCAUCGGAAUCUGCCCUGAUGUGGGGGAUAACGUAGGGAAACUUACGCUAAUACCGCAUACGACCGAGAGGUGAAAGCGGGGACCGAAAGGCCUCGCGCAGCAGGAUGAGCCGAUGUCCGAUUAGCUGGUUGGUGGGGUAAUGGCCUACCAAGGCGACGAUCGGUAGCUGGUCUGAGAGGAUGAUCAGCCACACUGGGACUGAGACACGGCCCAGACUCCUACGGGAGGCAGCAGUGGGGAAUAUUGGACAAUGGGGGCAACCCUGAUCCAGCAAUGCCGCGUGUGUGAAGAAGGCCUUCGGGUUGUAAAGGCACUUUUAUCGGGAGCGAAACGCGCCGGGUUAAUACCUUGGCGAACUGACGGUACCCGAGGAA